GAGGAAUAUUGGUCAAUGGACGAGAGUCUGAACCAGCCAAGUAGCGUGAAGGAUGACUGCCCUAUGGGUUGUAAACUUCUUUUAUACGGGAAUAAAGUGAGGCACGUGUGCCUUUUUGUAUGUACCGUAUGAAUAAGGAUCGGCUAACUCCGUGCCAGCAGCCGCGGUAAUACGGAGGAUCCGAGCGUUAUCCGGAUUUAUUGGGUUUAAAGGGAGCGUAGGCGGACGCUUAAGUCAGUUGUGAAAGUUUGCGGCUCAACCGUAAAAUUGCAGUUGAUACUGGGUGUCUUGAGUACAGUAGAGGCAGGCGGAAUUCGUGGUGUAGCGGUGAAAUGCUUAGAUAUCACGAAGAACUCCGAUUGCGAAGGCAGCUUGCUGGACUGUAACUGACGCUGAUGCUCGAAAGUGUGGGUAUCAAACAGGAUUAGAUACCCUGGUAGUCCCACACAGUAAACGAUGAAUACUCGCUGUUUGCGAUA
This 479-nucleotide ribosomal RNA is filed under the name uncultured bacterium. Its description in RNAcentral is "bacterial SSU rRNA". It matches the Rfam family "Bacterial small subunit ribosomal RNA", at positions 356 to 831 of the family's 1533-position model. The record is from RNAcentral.